GGCGAGAGACCGAUAGCGAACAAGUACCGUGAGGGAAAGAUGAAAAGAACUUUGAAAAGAGAGUAAAAUAGUACGUGAAAUUGUUGAAAGGGAAACGAUUGAAGUCAGUCGUACUGAUGAGAAUUCAACUCCUCGAGUGCUAACUUGUGGACGUGCGUGAGCCUUAAAACCUCGCUGUUUGCAAUGUUUGUGCUUUUUGGGUGUAAUUUUUCGUAUGGUAGGCCAACGUCAGUUUCGUUUACCAUAAAA
This 249-nucleotide ribosomal RNA is filed under the name uncultured Glomus. RNAcentral's name for it is "partial 23S ribosomal RNA". It matches the Rfam family "Eukaryotic large subunit ribosomal RNA", at positions 325 to 574 of the family's 3401-position model. The record is from RNAcentral. Lineage: Eukaryota; Fungi; Glomeromycota; Glomeromycetes; Glomerales; Glomeraceae.